AAUCAACAUACAUCAAAAGCUACCUUGAAAGUUAUUUUUCUUAUAUUUUUAAAUAAAAUGUAUUGAAUACAUGAAUAGACUAAUAAGAUUUAUAAAUUAAAUUUAGAGCUUAAGAAAAGCUGGGUUUUACAUUCUCUAACUUUAAUAAAUUGACUAUUAAUUUUGAACACCAGUAACUAUAAGUAGUUGGGUAUCACUGACGUGGCAUUACUGGCUGGUAACUGAGAAGUUCCAAUUUGAUGGCUUCUGUUUUCUCUGAAAUAGGAAUGCUUUUCCACUGUUCCUUUACCACGCCAGCAGGCCCUCAAUUCCAGACUUUGGCACUUGGUGUUCCCUCUGUCUGAAAUGCUCUAUCCUCAGAUCUCUGUAUGGUUCUUUACCCUAUUCAAGGCCUUGCUCAAAUGUCACCUCUUCAGAGAAGCUGUCCCCAAAUACCAUCCUUAAAACAAUACUCGCCGGACACCGGAUCAGUGUCUCUCCCCUGUCUAAACACCACAGUGGCUUCAUUUUAUAAUUUGUUUAGUUUGAAUAAGAAUGGAGGCAUAUUUUCCUUGUUCAAAAUGAAAUCUAGGCAAAAACAAAUGUUUUCUUGGCCACUCACUAUGAAGUUAGACACAAUAUAUAAACAAACACACACACCUCUUUUUUAAAGUAAAUACGUGCUUUCUGUAUGACUUUUCUUUAUCAUUUUUAAUUUAAAAGUAUUAAAAAGAAGUGCAGUAUGUACAAGAAAGCUUAUGGUAGUAGUACUAUAGUGGGAAAAAGAAUAAUAGAAACAACCUAAAUGCCUAAUAACAGGAAAAUACUUAAGUUAAGAAAUAUAUACAUUAAAAAACAUAAUACAACCAUAAUAAAUAAUAAUUAUGAGUAUAUAAAAGCAUAAAAGUGUUUCAAAGACAUUAAGUUUAAAAAAAAAUUAAUUACAAUGACAAAUAAGUCCAACCUUUACAUUACUCAAAUAUUUACUAACCAUGUGGCAUGUGCCUGACCUGACCUGGAAG
Molecule: long non-coding RNA, 1001 nt
Filed under: Equus caballus (horse)
Lineage: Eukaryota; Metazoa; Chordata; Mammalia; Perissodactyla; Equidae
Description: lncRNA (ENSECAG00000057437.1)
Source: RNAcentral